Molecule: ribosomal RNA, 252 nt
Filed under: uncultured bacterium
Lineage: Bacteria
Description: partial 16S ribosomal RNA
Rfam family: Bacterial small subunit ribosomal RNA
Source: RNAcentral
ACGAAGGAUGCAAGCGUUAUCCGGAUUCAUUGGGUUUCAAGGUCGCGUAGGUGGCCUUAUAAUUCAGUUGUGAAAUCUCUGGGCUUAACCCAGAAAUUGCCAUUGAUACUGUAGGGCUUGAGUAUAGUUGCCGUUGGCGGAAUAUGACAUGUAGUGGUGAAAUACAUAGAGAUGUCAUAGAACACCGAUUGCGAAGGCAGCUGACGAAACUAUAACUGACACUGAGGCUCGAAAGUGCGGGGAUCAAACAGG